RNAcentral lists this ribosomal RNA (722 nucleotides) under uncultured fungus. Its description in RNAcentral is "SSU rRNA". It matches the Rfam family "Eukaryotic small subunit ribosomal RNA", at positions 331 to 1057 of the family's 1831-position model. Lineage: Eukaryota; Fungi. The record is from RNAcentral.
GGAUAGAGGCCUACCAUGGUGGUAACGGGUAACGGGGUGUUAGGGCACGACACCGGAGAGGGAGCCUGAGAAACGGCUACCACAUCCAAGGAUGGCAGCAGGCGCGCAAAUUACCCAAUCCCGACACGGGGAGGUAGUGACAAUAAAUAACAAUACGGGGUUCUUUCGGAUCUCGUAAUUGGAAUGAGUACAAUUUAAAUCUCUUAACGAGGAACAAUUGGAGGGCAAGUCUGGUGCCAGCAGCCGCGGUAAUUCCAGCUCCAAUAGCGUAUAUUAAAGUUGUUGCAGUUAAAAAGCUCGUAGUUGAAUUUCGGGGUUAGUAGGUUGGUCAUGCCUCUGGUAUGUACUGGUCUCACUGAUUCCUCCUUCCUUAUGAACCGUAAUGCCAUUAAUUUGGUGUUGCGGGGAAUUUGGACUGUUACUUUGAAAAAAUUAGAGUGUUUAAAGCAAGCUAACGCUUGAAUACAUUAGCAUGGAAUAAUGAAAUAGGACGUUCGAUCUUAUUUUGUUGGUUUCUAGGAUUGACGUAAUGAUUAAUAGGGAUAGUUGGGGGCAUUAGUAUUCAAUUGUCAGAGGUGAAAUUCUUGGAUUUAUUGAAGACUAACUACUGCGAAAGCAUUUGCCAAGGAUGUUUUCAUUAAUCAAGAACGAAAGUUAGGGGAUCGAAGACGAUCAGAUACCGUCGUAGUCUUAACCAUAAACUAUGCCGACUAGGGAUCGGA